GUGACGACGUUAAGCUGAGAGUG
Molecule: non-coding RNA, 23 nt
Filed under: Cricetulus griseus (Chinese hamster)
Lineage: Eukaryota; Metazoa; Chordata; Mammalia; Rodentia; Cricetidae
Source: RNAcentral